RNAcentral lists this ribosomal RNA (492 nucleotides) under Dialister invisus. RNAcentral's name for it is "bacterial SSU rRNA". It matches the Rfam family "Bacterial small subunit ribosomal RNA", at positions 28 to 487 of the family's 1533-position model. The record is from RNAcentral. Lineage: Bacteria; Bacillati; Bacillota; Negativicutes; Veillonellales; Veillonellaceae.
GACGAACGCUGGCGGCGUGCUUAACACAUGCAAGUCGAACGAAAAGAGGGAAAGAGCUUGCUCUUUCCGGAAUUGAGUGGCAAACGGGUGAGUAACACGUAAACAACCUGCCUUCAGGAUGGGGACAACAGACGGAAACGACUGCUAAUACCGAAUAAGUUCCAAGAGCCGCAUGGCCCAUGGAAGAAAAGGUGGCCUCUACCUGUAAGCUAUCGCCUGAAGAGGGGUUUGCGUCUGAUUAGCUGGUUGGAGGGGUAACGGCCCACCAAGGCGACGAUCAGUAGCCGGUCUGAGAGGAUGAACGGCCACACUGGAACUGAGACACGGUCCAGACUCCUACGGGAGGCAGCAGUGGGGAAUCUUCCGCAAUGGGCGAAAGCCUGACGGAGCAACGCCGCGUGAGUGAUGACGGCCUUCGGGUUGUAAAACUCUGUGAUCCGGGACGAAAAGGCAGAGUGCGAAGAACAAACUGCAUUGACGGUACCGAAAAGC